AUUGAACGCUGGCGGCAGGCCUAACACAUGCAAGUCGAGAGAGCGGCGUACGGGUGAGUAAUGUCUGGGAAACUGCCUGAUGGAGGGGGAUAACUACUGGAAACGGUAGCUAAUACAGCAUACCAUACACAGUGCCCAGAUGGGAUUAGCUAGUAGGUGGGGGAAUGGCUCACCUAGGCGACGAUCCCUAGCUGGUCUUGGAGGAUGACCAGCCACACUGGAACUGAGACACGGUCCAGACUCCGACGGAAGGCAGCAGUGGGGAAUAUGGCACAAUGGGCGCAAGCCUGAUGCAGCCAUGCCGCGUGUGUGAAGAAGGCCUUCGGGUUGUAAAGCACUUUCAGCGAGGAGGCGUUACUCGCAGAAGAAGCACCGGCGAACUCCGUGCCAGCAGCCGCGGUAAUUC
RNAcentral lists this ribosomal RNA (406 nucleotides) under uncultured bacterium. Its description in RNAcentral is "partial 16S ribosomal RNA". It matches the Rfam family "Bacterial small subunit ribosomal RNA", at positions 30 to 526 of the family's 1533-position model. The record is from RNAcentral.